GUAGUCAUAUGCUUGUCUCAAAGAUUAAGCCAUGCAUGUCUAUGCACAAGCCGAUUAAUGGUGAAGCCGCGAAUGGCUCAUUACAACAGCCACUGUUUACUUGAUCUUGACUAUCCUACUUGGAUAACUGUGGUAAUUCUAGAGCUAAUACACGCAAUAAAGCUCCGACCUUACGGGACGAGCGCAUUUAUUAGACCAAAACCAAUCGGGCUUCGGCCUGAGCCGUUGGUGACUCUGAAUAACUGAGCUGAUCGCAUGGUCUUUGUACCGGCGACGCAUCUUUCAAGUGUCUGCCUUAUCAACUUUCGAUGGUAGUUUAUGUGCCUACCAUGGUUGUUACGGGUAACGGAGAAUAAGGGUUCGACUCCGGAGAGGGAGCCUGAGAAACGGCUACCACAUCCAAGGAAGGCAGCAGGCGCGCAAAUUACCCACUCUCGGCACGAGGAGGUAGUGACGAAAAAUAACGAGGCGGUUCUCUAUGAGGCCCGCUAUCGGAAUGGGUACAAUUUAAACCCUUUAACGAGGACCUAUGAGGGGGCAAGUCUGGUGCCAGCAGCC
This 558-nucleotide ribosomal RNA is filed under the name uncultured eukaryote. RNAcentral's name for it is "SSU rRNA". It matches the Rfam family "Eukaryotic small subunit ribosomal RNA", at positions 20 to 575 of the family's 1831-position model. The record is from RNAcentral.